AUUGAACGCUGGCGGCAGGCCUAACACAUGCAAGUCGAGCGGAUGAAGGGAGCUUGCUCCUGGAUUCAGCGGCGGACGGGUGAGUAAUGCCUAGGAAUCUGCCUGGUAGUGGGGGAUAACGUCCGGAAACGGGCGCUAAUACCGCAUACGUCCUGAGGGAGAAAGUGGGGGAUCUUCGGACCUCACGCUAUCAGAUGAGCCUAGGUCGGAUUAGCUAGUUGGUGGAGUAAAGGCCUACCAAGGCGACGAUCCGUAACUGGUCUGAGAGGAUGAUCAGUCACACUGGAACUGAGACACGGUCCAGACUCCUACGGGAGGCAGCAGUGGGGAAUAUUGGACAAUGGGCGAAAGCCUGAUCCAGCCAUGCCGCGUGUGUGAAGAAGGUCUUCGGAUUGUAAAGCACUUUAAGUUGGGAGGAAGGGCAGUAAGUUAAUGCCUUGCUGUUUUGACGUUACCAACAGAAUAAGCACCGGCUAACUUCGUG
Molecule: ribosomal RNA, 484 nt
Filed under: uncultured bacterium
Lineage: Bacteria
Description: partial 16S ribosomal RNA
Rfam family: Bacterial small subunit ribosomal RNA
Source: RNAcentral